UCCCUGGAGGUCCAGUGGCUAAGACCCUGCACUCCCAAUGCAAAGGGCCCAGGUUCAAGCCCUGGUCAGAGAC
Molecule: transfer RNA, 73 nt
Filed under: Capra hircus (goat)
Lineage: Eukaryota; Metazoa; Chordata; Mammalia; Artiodactyla; Bovidae
Also listed under: 1 other name
Rfam family: tRNA
About the family: Transfer RNA (tRNA) molecules are approximately 80 nucleotides in length. Their secondary structure includes four short double-helical elements and three loops (D, anti-codon, and T loops).
Source: Rfam by way of RNAcentral